UUACACAUGCAGUCGAACGAUGAACCACUUCGGUGGGGAUUAGUGGCGAACGGGUGAGUAACACGUGGGCAAUCUGCCCUUCACUCUGGGACAAGCCCUGGAAACGGGGUCUAAUACCGGAUAACACUUCCGCACUCAUGUGCGGGGGUUAAAAGCUCCGGCGGUGAAGGAUGAGCCCGCGGCCUAUCAGCUUGUUGGUGAGGUAAUGGCUCACCAAGGCGACGACGGGUAGCCGGCCUGAAAGGGCGACCGGCCACACUGGGACUGAAACACGGCCCAAACUCCUACGGGAGGCAGCAGUGGGGAAUAUUGCACAAUGGGCGAAAGCCUGAUGCAGCGACCCCGCGUGAGGGAUGACGGCCUUCGGGUUGUAAACCUCUUUCAGCAGGGAAGAAGCGAAAGUGACGGUACCUGCAGAAGAAGCGCCGGCUAACUACGUGCCAGCAGCCGCGGUAAUACGUAGGGCGCGAGCGUUGUCCGGAAUUAUUGGGCGUAAAGAGCUCGUAGGCGGCUUGUCACGUCGGUUGUGAAAGCCCGGGGCUUAACCCCGGGUCUGCAGUCGAUACGGGCAGGCUAGAGUGUGGUAGGGGAGAUCGGAAUUCCUGGUGUAGCGGUGAAAU
Molecule: ribosomal RNA, 620 nt
Filed under: Actinomycetales bacterium A244
Lineage: Bacteria; Bacillati; Actinomycetota; Actinomycetes; Actinomycetales
Description: bacterial SSU rRNA
Rfam family: Bacterial small subunit ribosomal RNA
Source: RNAcentral